CUUGAAAAGCUGUCUGCUUCAAAACAUAAUAAAUGAAAAACAAUUUCUGCUUAACUAGUUCUUUCCUUUACCUCAGAAGUAAGAUAGUCAUUUUCUAGUUUUCUAUACUCUACAAAUACUUAGGUAUGCUGCAAAUCCACUUGAUAUCAAUUAAUCCCCUGGAACUAUGGACUCUAUCAGCAUUCAGGAAUAAAAAGAAUCCAUCCCCUUUUAUUUCAAACCUGAAAGGAAAUAAUCUAAGUCAGUUUGGGAGCUAUAUACAUCUAUAAUCAAAAAGAAAAUUAAGAACACAGUGAUUUGAAACAUAUUUAAAAACACCAAGUUCCCAGAAAAUAUAUUACCUGAUAUCAUAUGUUUUCACAAAAAUUGGUUCAAUAAAAGAAAAUAAGACUGAAUUUGGUAUUUUUUUGAGUUAUAAUCUGUACUUCUAUUCAGAAC
Molecule: long non-coding RNA, 438 nt
Filed under: Marmota monax (woodchuck)
Lineage: Eukaryota; Metazoa; Chordata; Mammalia; Rodentia; Sciuridae
Source: RNAcentral